UCCUGGCUCAGGACGAACGCCUGGCGGCGUGCUUAACACAUGCAAGUCGAACGGUGAAGGGGCCUGCUUUUGUGGGUCCUGGAUGAGUGGCGAACGGGUGAGUAACACGUGAGUAACCUGCCCCCUUCUUCUGGAUAACCGCAUGAAAGUGUGGCUAAUACGGGAUAUUCUGGGUCUGUCGCAUGGUGGGCCUGGGAAAGGUUUUUUCCGGUGGGGGAUGGGCUCGCGGCCUAUCAGCUUGUUGGUGGGGUGAUGGCCUACCAAGGCGGUGACGGGUAGCCGGCCUGAGAGGGUGGACGGUCACACUGGGACUGAGACACGGCCCAGACUCCUACGGGAGGCAGCAGUGGGGAAUAUUGCACAAUGGGCGCAAGCCUGAUGCAGCGACGCCGCGUGAGGGAUGGAGGCCUUCGGGUUGUGAACCUCUUUCGCCAGUGAAGCAGGCCUGCUCCUUUUUUGUGGGUGGGUUGACGGUAGCUGGAUAAGAAGCGCCGGCUAACUACGUGCCAGCAGCCGCGGUAAUACGUAGGGCGCGAGCGUUGUCCGGAAUUAUUGGGCGUAAAGAGCUCGUAGGCGGCUGGUCGCGUCUGUCGUGAAAUCCUCUGGCUUAACUGGGGGCUUGCGGUGGGUACGGGCCGGCUUGAGUGCGGUAGGGGAGGCUGGAACUCCUGGUGUAGCGGUGGAAUGCGCAGAUAUCAGGAAGAACACCGGUGGCGAAGGGCGGGUCUCUGGGCCGUUACUGACGCUGAGGAGCGAAAGCGUGGGGAGCGAACAGGAUUAGAUACCCUGGUAGUCCACGCCGUAAAAGUUGGGCACUAGGUGUGGGGGGCCUUUUCCGGGUUUUCCGCGCCGUAGCUAACGCAUUAGGGUGCCCCCGCCUGGGGAGUACGGCCCGCAGGCUAAAACUUAAAAGAAAUUGACGGGGGCCCGCACAAGCGGCGGAGCAUGCGGAUUAAUUCGAUGCAACGGGAAGAACCUUACAAAGGCUUGACAUGUGCCGGUUUGCUCCCGGAGAACGGGGUUUCCUCCCUUGUGGGGGGCUGGUUUCACAGGUGGUGCAUGGUUUUCUUCAGCUCGUGUUCGUGAGAAUGUUGGGUUAAUUCCCGCAACGAGCGGGAACCCUUGUCUCGUGUUGCCAGCGACGUUGUGGUGGGAACUCGCGGAGAACUGCCGGGGUCGAACUCGGAGAAGGGUGGGGAUGACGUCGAAUCGUCGUGCCCACUUAUGUUCUUUGGGCUUCGCGGUGGCUACAAUAGCCGGUACGAGAGGCUGCGAAUACCGUAGAGUAAAGCGAGUUCCCUGAGACCGGUUCUCGGUUCGAUUCGGUGUCUCGGAGCGUAGCCGUUAGAUUGAUGUCGCGUGUGGUCCCGAUCCGGCGGACGCUACGGGGGAUACGUUC
Molecule: ribosomal RNA, 1399 nt
Filed under: uncultured bacterium
Lineage: Bacteria
Description: partial 16S ribosomal RNA
Rfam family: Bacterial small subunit ribosomal RNA
Source: RNAcentral